Molecule: ribosomal RNA, 545 nt
Filed under: uncultured bacterium
Lineage: Bacteria
Description: partial 16S ribosomal RNA
Rfam family: Bacterial small subunit ribosomal RNA
Source: RNAcentral
UGGGGAAUUUUGGACAAUGGGCGAAAGCCUGAUCCAGCAAUGCCGCGUGUGUGAAGAAGGCCUUCGGGUUGUAAAGCACUUUUGUCCGGAAAGAAAUCCUUGGCUCUAAUACAGUCGGGGGAUGACGGUACCGGAAGAAUAAGCACCAGCUAACUACGUGCCAGCAGCCGCGGUAAUACGUAGGGUGCAAGCGUUAAUCGGAAUUACUGGGCGUAAAGCGUGCGCAGGCGGUUUGCUAAGACCGAUGUGAAAUCCCCGGGCUCAACCUGGGAACUGCAUUGGUGACUGGCAGGCUAGAGUAUGGCAGAGGGGGGUAGAAUUCCACGUGUAGCAGUGAAAUGGCGUAGAGAUGUGGAGGAAUACCGAUGGCGAAGGCAGCCCCCUGGGCCAAUACUGACGCUCAUGCACGAAAGCGUGGGGAGCAAACAGGAUUAGAUACCCUGGUAGUCCACGCCCUAAAGCGAUGUCAACUAGUUGUUGGGGAUUCAUUUCCUUAGUAACGUAGCUAACGCGUGAAGUUGACCGCCUGGGGAGUACGGUCGCAA